AGCAGCCGCGGUAAUUCCAGCUCCAAUAGCGUAUAUUAAAGUUGUUGCAGUUAAAAAGCUCGUAGUUGAAUUUCGGGAUCAAUACGUCGGUCGUGCUUCGGUACGUACUGGCGUAAUUGAUUUCUCCCUUCUGACGAACCAUGAUGUCAUUAACUUGGUGUCAUGGGAAAUCAGGACUGUUACUUUGAAAAAAUUAGAGUGUUUAAAGCAAGCAUACGCUUGAAUACAUCAGCAUGGAAUAAUGAACUAGGACGUUUGAUUCUAUUUUGUUGGUUUCUAGGAUCGACGUAAUGAUUAAUAGGGAUAGUUGGGGGCAUUAGUAUUCAAUUGUCAGAGGUGAAAUUCUUGGAUUUAUUGAAGACUAACUACUGCGAAAGCAUUUGCCAAGGAUGUUUUCAUUAAUCAAGAACGAAAGUUAGGGGAUCGAAGACGAUCAGAUACCGUCGUAGUCUUAACCAUAAACUAUGCCGACUAGGGAUCGGAUGAUGUUAUUUUUAAUGUACUCAU
Molecule: ribosomal RNA, 507 nt
Filed under: uncultured Glomus
Lineage: Eukaryota; Fungi; Glomeromycota; Glomeromycetes; Glomerales; Glomeraceae
Description: SSU rRNA
Rfam family: Eukaryotic small subunit ribosomal RNA
Source: RNAcentral